RNAcentral lists this long non-coding RNA (464 nucleotides) under Salmo salar (Atlantic salmon). Its description in RNAcentral is "lncRNA (ENSSSAG00000106384.1)". Lineage: Eukaryota; Metazoa; Chordata; Actinopteri; Salmoniformes; Salmonidae. The record is from RNAcentral.
GUAAGAGUUGAGCUACCGCGGAGGACAGUGGGUUGGGUUAUCAUGGUAAGAGUUUAGCUACCGGCUUGGACAGUGGGUUGGGUUAUCAUGGUAAGAGUUUAGCUACCUUGAGGACAGUAGGCUGGGUUAUCAUGGUAAGAGUUGAACUACCGGCGAGGACAGUGGGUUGGGUUAUCAAGGUAAGAGUUGAGCUACCGGCGAGGACAGUGGGUUGGGUUAUCAUGGUAAGAGUUUAGCUACCGGCUUGGACAGUGGGUUGGGUUAUCAAGGUAAGAGUUGUGCUACCUUGAGGACAGUAGGUUGGGUUAUCAAGGUAAGAGUUGAGCUACCUUGAGGACAGUAGGGGCACAGCACUGGUAUGAGAAGAGAUGUAAUACAGACAUGCAGCAGAACAGACUAGCUAUGGCUGGGCUACAUCUCAAUGACCUGAACUGGCCUCACUCACCCUCUUUUCCUUUCCUUCC